This 497-nucleotide ribosomal RNA is filed under the name uncultured bacterium. Its description in RNAcentral is "partial 16S ribosomal RNA". It matches the Rfam family "Bacterial small subunit ribosomal RNA", at positions 28 to 507 of the family's 1533-position model. The record is from RNAcentral.
GAUGAACGCUGGCGGCGUGCCUAAUACAUGCAAGUCGAGCGAACGGACGAGAAGCUUGCUUCUCUGAUGUUAGCGGCGGACGGGUGAGUAACACGUGGAUAACCUACCUAUAAGACUGGGAUAACUUCGGGAAACCGGAGCUAAUACCGGAUAAUAUUUUGAACCGCAUGGUUCAAAAGUGAAAGACGGUCUUGCUGUCACUUAUCGAUGGAUCCGCGCUGCAUUAGCUAGUUGGUAAGGUAACGGCUUACCAAGGCAACGAUGCAUAACCGAGCUGAGAGGGUGAUCGGCCACAUGGGAACUGAGACACGGUCCAGACUCCUACGGGAGGCAGCAGUAGGGAAUCGUCCGCAAUGGUCGAAAGCCUGACGGAGCAACGCCGCGUGAGUGAUGAAGGUCUUCGGAUCGUAAAACUCUGUUAUUAGGGAAGAACAUAUGUGUAAGUAACUGUGCACAUCUUGACGGUACCUAAUCAGAAAGCCACGGCUAACUACGUG